Zonotrichia leucophrys gambelii is the source of this 866-nucleotide long non-coding RNA. RefSeq lists it as uncharacterized. The transcript is spliced from 3 exons. The record is from RefSeq and is a predicted model, not a curated record. NCBI's taxonomy places the organism in Eukaryota, Metazoa, Chordata, Aves, Passeriformes, Passerellidae.
CUUUUAACCAGAAUAGCAGAUUCGUGCCUGGGUAUGGAUCAGUUGGCCUACAGAGGGCCAGUUGACCUAUACCAGUAUCUGCCAGCAGGCUGCAGUCUUAAUGUCUUCAUUGGACUGAAAUUUGCUCACAGGUAGAAUGAAGACUUCUCUGGCAAAAAUGUUUGCUGGGCUUUGAGUCAGUUCAAACUGUGUAUUCAGGGUUAACACGUGCUCUGUUCCUGCACUGCUGUACAUCGGUUACUUGCUGGAGCUUCUCUUCCAAGAUUUACUGCUCCACACCUGGGUGUGCAUCAAGUGGCAACAGCUGUAAAGAAGUCUGUGUCACCAGUCUAAUUUACUCUCUGUCAUAAUAGCUCUCUGCAGAAAGAAUUGCUUGGAAACUGCAGUGAUUGCCCAUCUCAUUCUUCAUCUGAAAUUCCUAGCCCCUCGUAUCAGCUGUCUUCACAAAACAUAGGGAAGCAGGGAAGUGGUCAUCAGAGACCCUGUUAACGCUUCCUGAGGUACAGGUGUUGCAAAAAUGAAGCAACUACACGUGCAGACUGGGAUAAUGCCAACACAAAUCCUGAGAAGACUAAAAAAAUGGGAACUGCUCUUACUAAGGGAUGUGACAAAACUGUCUUGAGUUUAAAGAGCUGCAUCUUCCAUGUGGAGAUACCACAGGUAUUUUGGCAGUGUUGGUUGUUCAGACUUAAUGUUACAAGGCAGCUGUGUAAAGCAUACUCAGAGAUAGUCACGAAGAAACCAAAGAACCCUCUGACCCUGAUGCUGCUUGUUAGGACUUUCAAAGACUCCUUGUGUGUGAGGACAAAUAUUUAUGUAACUGUAUUUAUCCAUUUACUUUGUAUGAGAUUAAAGCAGUUUGGGUA